Long non-coding RNA from Anolis sagrei ordinatus, 516 nucleotides. RefSeq lists it as uncharacterized. Lineage: Eukaryota; Metazoa; Chordata; Lepidosauria; Squamata; Anolidae. The record is from RefSeq and is a predicted model, not a curated record.
UCAACACAGCAUUGCUGCAAUUUGAAAUUAUGCGUCCUUAUUUGAAAGAACUACUCAGCGUAGAAGACUUCUCUCCCUUGGAAAUACCCCAAGGCAUUGGAGCGUCUUGAGAAACUGCAAGUUAUUUCUGGUGAGAGAGAAUUGGCUGUCUGCAGGGAUGUUGCCCAGGGGAUGCCCAGAUGAUUUACCAUCCUGUGGGAGGCUUCUCUCAUAUCCCCACAUGAGAAGCUGGAGCUGACAGACGGGAGAUCACCCUGCUCCCUGGAUUUGAACCACGGACCUUUUGAAUCCUGGAACCUUGGCUCUUUGGACUGGCUGUUGGCUACGGUAGACUUAUUGAAUUCUCGGCGUUUGACCACUGGACUGGACCUUUGACUACGGUGUUAUCUUGAACCUGCAACAGUGUUUGCUAUUUUUGUUUAUUCUGUGGCUGAGUGCUAUCUUUGUGUUUUAUAUUUUGGACAAUUCAAACAGCCAGAAAGUAAGUGCUGUUUUAAUUAAAUUGUUUUAUGCAAA